AGUUGAUUUGGGAUGGGAUUUCAGCCGAUGUAAGCUAAAAAGUUUGGAUUUCUAGCUUGCCUCUCUCUUGAUGGUUAAUCUAUGUCUGCAUGGAGACGGAUGAUCAUCUGUGGAUAUGUGACUUAUUCACUACUAAUGGUAGGAGCUGGAGAGUAUAGAAUGUCAUCCAUCUUUUUGAUGGUCUACUCACUGAUCAGAUUCUUAUCAUUCCGAUGUCU
This 218-nucleotide long non-coding RNA is filed under the name Elaeis guineensis (African oil palm). RNAcentral describes it as "long non-coding RNA (EGUI_LNC023224)". Lineage: Eukaryota; Viridiplantae; Streptophyta; Magnoliopsida; Arecales; Arecaceae. The record is from RNAcentral.